UACCAUGUCAACAUUAUAUUUGAUUUGUUUGUCAUUUUAUCGACUAAUUUUAGUUGGUAGCAUCUUUUGCUUCCAAAUUUUGCUUUUUUUCAGUUAUUUGCUGCACCAACCCAAUUAUAUGUUGAGUUUGAAUUUUUGUUUUGCAGUUCUGGUUUCAAGGUAAGGGGCACAGUAGAAGGGUAUCUUAAAUUUUUGUUUUGCAGUUAUGACACAAUGGAAGCAUGACGUGAGGUAUAUUUCAGUAGGGAGGCAUACGAAAAUAGCAGAGGCAUGAUAUGAGGUAUUUCACUAGUUUAAUAACCAAAAGAGUACAAACUCAAAACUUUUUUGAGAUACUUUGAAAGCCUUUCCAUCUAAACUGGUUUUAAUAAGCUUGCUAGUGCAAAUAGCUGUUUCUUAAUUAAUAACAAUGCAAUACUAGCUCUGAUAGGUCCCACCCUGAUUGUAUACGGAUGGAAGUGUUACGUUUCAUGGAAAU
This 478-nucleotide long non-coding RNA is filed under the name Elaeis guineensis (African oil palm). RNAcentral describes it as "long non-coding RNA (EGUI_LNC000182)". The record is from RNAcentral. Lineage: Eukaryota; Viridiplantae; Streptophyta; Magnoliopsida; Arecales; Arecaceae.